RNAcentral lists this ribosomal RNA (230 nucleotides) under uncultured Bacillota bacterium. RNAcentral describes it as "uncultured Firmicutes bacterium partial 16S ribosomal RNA". It matches the Rfam family "Bacterial small subunit ribosomal RNA", at positions 225 to 454 of the family's 1533-position model. Lineage: Bacteria; Bacillati; Bacillota. The record is from RNAcentral.
AUGGACCCGCGGCGCAUUAGCUAGUUGGUGAGGNAACGGCUCACCAAGGCAACGAUGCGUAGCCGACCUGAGAGGGUGAUCGGCCACACUGGGACUGAGACACGGCCCAGACUCCUACGGGAGGCAGCAGUAGGGAAUUUUCGGCAAUGGNGGAAAGUCUGACGGAGCAACGCCGCGUGAACGAUGAAGGCUUUCGGGUCGUAAAGUUCUGUUGUCAGGGAAGAACAAGU